Molecule: long non-coding RNA, 1420 nt
Organism: Raphanus sativus (radish)
Lineage: Eukaryota; Viridiplantae; Streptophyta; Magnoliopsida; Brassicales; Brassicaceae
Exons: 6
Source: RefSeq, a predicted model, not a curated record
UACACGCCGUUUGUCUCUCUUGUCUCUCUCAUGGCGAUUUCUGGUGAACAAGAGCAUCUUCGGCCUAAUCCCGCGAUUUCCGGUGAACAGGAGCAUCUUCGGCUUAAUCCCUGCCAAUGCUCGUUGUCCAGGAAAAGAGUGGUUAUUUCAAAGAUAAAGCGAGGCUCCAAGGCUCCCUCAGCACCCUCAAGGAGCACGAUGACAAGCGCCAGCUCACAAUUCUCGCCGGAAUCGAUCUGCCUCUCGGUGGAACCGGUCGCCCUGACAUCCUAGGGUUGUAUUAUGCGAAAAUUGGAAUUGGAACACCUGCGAAGAGCUAUAUUACGUUCAACUCGACACAGGGAGUGAUAUCAUGUGGGUUAACUGUAUCCAGUGCAAACAGUGUCCAAAACGAAGCAAUCUUGGUAUCGAGCUGAUACUCUACGACAUUGAGGAAUCAGAGAGCGCGAAGUUGGUUUCUUGCGAUGAAGACUUUUGCUUCUAGAUUAGUGGUGGUCCUCUCUCAGAUUGAGGAAUCGGAGAGCGCGAAAGAUUCAUUCCUCUGUUAUUAUUAAUUUGUUUAGUGAUAAACACUAUUUAGAGAGAGUUUGCACCAGCAAUAUGAACUGGUGAAGAAGAGGACGGCAGGAACUGUUUCGACGCAUGGUUCUCAUGUGAUGGAGUUUGGAGAUAUAGGACUACUAAGCAAAGAGAAGCUCGUCCUUUACUUGGGUACAAAUCCAGUCAAUGAUCAUUAUCACGCAUGAACCCAGCUGGCUUCUUGAUUGGUACUGGAGCAGCGAUACAGGGAAGAACAUGAGCUGAGUUUUUCCCUGAUAAAACUGAAGUUCAAUGCAUGCAUCGGUGGCAGAAAGUUUUGGAUCCAAACCUUACCAAGGGACCUUGAACACAUCAGGAGGAUGAGACCCUUUCCGAAGGUAGUGCUAAUCAACCUAGUGAAGAUGUUCAAGUCAGUGCAAAGACAUGCAAGUCAGGCCCUGACAUUUGUGAAAUUAUAUGGUAGAUUGGUAGGUAGAAGUUAAAAAGAUAUUUAUUUGCAUGCUCUAUGGUAGAUUGUUAUAUGGUAGAUUGCCUUUGUAUAUGUGAUAAGUCAGAGUUUCUUGGUUGGGAACUCCCUCUCAUGGUCAAAGACUUCCGUCAACGUGUCUUUGGUGACCAGAAGGAAGGCUCCUCCAUGGCUACAACCACCACCAAAACAAGGGCACUGCUUGCAGCUACAAUGUGGAGAGGAGAGAGCUUCUUUUUGUAAAAUUUAUUUUGUUUUUGUUUUUUUUUAUUAUGAUAUUAUAUUCUGUGUAACUUAGAGUAAGAGUUUGGUACCUUUACUACUUAUUCAUGGACCACACUACAGUCUAAGAAAACCCUUUUUGUCUUUUGCAAUUACAAAGUUCAGUAGCAACUAGUUAAGAGUAAAACAACA